Molecule: long non-coding RNA, 1305 nt
Filed under: Phasianus colchicus (ring-necked pheasant)
Lineage: Eukaryota; Metazoa; Chordata; Aves; Galliformes; Phasianidae
Description: lncRNA (ENSPCLG00000003367.1)
Source: RNAcentral
UUCACAUUAAGGUUCCCUUGUCUUUAAGGAUUAUGAAUAUCGGAGAUGCAGACUUCUAGGCCAUGCAAGUAAUUUUCCCAGUUAAUUGGGAUACAUACUUUCCACAUUCUUGUGGUAAUAUCAUAAUUCUUCUCUUAUUUCUUCUUAAUUUCAAAGGGAAUUGCAGUGGAGUUGUGGUACUGACCUUGGGGGCUGUGUAUGUAAUAUUCCAAGAGGAUGGGAUGACAGAAAUUCCUGGUAGAGGUCAGAAUGGCCGUGCAGAGAUGGAAAGUUUAAAACAAGCACCUCAAACUCUUCAGCUUUAGAAACUGAGAAAUUUCCAAUGAAGAUAAUUAGUUUUUAAUCAAUAUUGAAGAAUAAGGACUCUGCAGAUAGCUUAAAUUUUAACAAUGCAAUUUAAGGUUUUUUAGCUAAGUAUGUCAGACCUGUCUGUUAUACUACACUGUAUUAUGCUUCACUGUGCCUUCUCUUUUGACAUUGAAAUUACUGCUGAAGUGUUAGGAAUUCUCUUGAGUCUGAAAUUUGGCUUUCUACGUAACUUUAAAUGGAUCUGUAUCUCUUCCCAUACUGGUUUGAUUUCUUAAUUUUUAAUGCAAUUACUUUUGAUUUGUACCACUAAAUGAGAAGGUGUUUUUGAACAAAAAACCUGAGCCACAUGGGUUUUCUUAAUUGCCUGAAUGAGUUGUUCACGUAUGCCUACUUUGUAUGUUAUGAGUUAUUCUAUUUAAUACCCAGAUUUCCAUUCUAGAGAAGUAGUGCAUAUUCACAGGGCUAAAACCAGCUGAAGUGAUUUAUCAGUGUACUGCUGUGCAGCGUUUCAUGAAUUUUCUCUCUGCUAAUACUCUAUGCCAUUCAUGGACAUCUUUAAAGGCUGUUAUAUUUGUACCUUCAUUUCCUUUAUUUCUGAACUGGCAUGAGUAACUACCUCUGCACUCUUAAUGUUAUGGAUAGUUCAGUUUCACUUGGGUGCUUAAACUACACUUUAGAAUUUAGUGUUGGAACAGAUGCAAGAGAUUCUGCCAGAGAGAGGGUAGAGUGGCUAGAAGAAACCUCACAACAGUUUUCCAUUUCAGGCUCCAAUAUGUUCAUAUUAAUCCAGCUUUUCUUGGAAAUGAGAGAUUACAAAGAAGAGACAUUUUAAGAGGAAAAUUGUUAAAUUUGUGUAUGUUUCAAUGAACAUUUUACAAAUAUCUGAAAUUGCUCUGUUUGGAAUAUAAGUAAACCAAUGUUCUUUAAGGACAUUCUGUAUAUUCAUAACUAUUUUAUCCAUGUUAACAAAAACCAGACUUAUCAAAAUAAUAUUUU